This 412-nucleotide long non-coding RNA is filed under the name Equus caballus (horse). RNAcentral's name for it is "lncRNA (ENSECAG00000043522.2)". The record is from RNAcentral. Lineage: Eukaryota; Metazoa; Chordata; Mammalia; Perissodactyla; Equidae.
CUCCAGGAAGCCCUCCUCUCCAUGCUUCCCUUCGUCACGCCUGCAAAGACCCUGCUUCCACACAAGACCUCUCCGUCUGACUCGGUGGCACGAGGGCCGUUUGGCAUCAGGCUCACCCCACAGACCACUCACCCCACGCCUCCAUCUACACCGCAGACCACUCACCCCACGCCUCCAUCUACGCCGCAGACCACUCACCCCACGCCUCCAUCUACGCCGCAGACCAUUCACCCCUGCUGGGAGGACGGCAUCUUCCGGGAACAAAGCCUGUAGGCCCUGAGGCUGGUGGUAAACAGCUCAGGACCGAGUCCCAGAGUCUUAGCUUCCCAUUGAUGUCUCUGAGGGAUUCAGGCUCUGCUUGAUCAAGCUGCUCCUCCAGGAAACACCACAUUCCCCAGUUCCUAGAAAGCCU